RNAcentral lists this ribosomal RNA (301 nucleotides) under uncultured bacterium. RNAcentral's name for it is "partial 16S ribosomal RNA". It matches the Rfam family "Bacterial small subunit ribosomal RNA", at positions 509 to 808 of the family's 1533-position model. The record is from RNAcentral.
CAGUAGCCGCGGUAAAACGUAGGUCCCGAGCGUUGUCCGGAUUUAUUGGGCGUAAAGCGAGCGCAGGCGGUUUGAUAAGUCUGAAGUUAAAGGCUGUGGCUCAACCAUAGUUCGCUUUGGAAACUGUCAAACUUGAGUGCAGAAGGGGAGAGUGGAAUUCCAUGUGUAGCGGUGAAAUGCGUAGAUAUAUGGAGGAACACCGGUGGCGAAAGCGGCUCUCUGGUCCGUAACUGACGCUGAGGCUCGAAAGCGUGGGGAGCGAACAGGAUUAGAUACCCCGGUAGUCCCUGUCUCUUAUACA